Molecule: long non-coding RNA, 168 nt
Organism: Thalassophryne amazonica
Lineage: Eukaryota; Metazoa; Chordata; Actinopteri; Batrachoidiformes; Batrachoididae
Exons: 3
Source: RefSeq, a predicted model, not a curated record
UUCAAUCACAUUAAAAAAAACAACGUUCCACUUUUUCAAGGUGCUUCUUCAUUUUUUGGUUCCUUUAGGGGUAAAAAUAAAUUGAGUAAAAUUUUAUGAGAUUUGAAAAAUAACCACUGAUGCCAGGCCCCCGUUUUUAGUGACGUGCGAGUGACAUUUUGAGUUACA